RNAcentral lists this ribosomal RNA (253 nucleotides) under uncultured bacterium. Its description in RNAcentral is "partial 16S ribosomal RNA". It matches the Rfam family "Bacterial small subunit ribosomal RNA", at positions 524 to 776 of the family's 1533-position model. The record is from RNAcentral.
UACGAGCGCCUCGAGCGUUAUCCGGAAUUAUUGGGCGUAAAGGGUGCGUAGGUUGUUCUGUUAGUCUUUUGUCAAAGCCCCGGGCUUAACCUGGGACACGCGAAAGAAACGGCAGAGCUUGAAAGUGCGAGAGGUAUACAGAACUCAUGGUGUAGGGGUGAAAUCCGUUGAUAUCAUGGGGAAUACCAAAUGCGAAGGCAGUAUACUGGCGCAUAUUUGACACUGAAGCACGAAAGCGUGGGUAGCGAAUGGG